This 422-nucleotide small RNA is filed under the name Pongo abelii (Sumatran orangutan). RNAcentral's name for it is "processed transcript". Lineage: Eukaryota; Metazoa; Chordata; Mammalia; Primates; Hominidae. The record is from RNAcentral.
CCCGGUCUCCAGGGGCCUCACCCGAGUGAUGCCCCGCUAUUGCGCAGCGAUUUGUUGUAAGAACCGCCGGGGACGAAACAAUAAAGACCGGAAGCUGAGUUUUUAUCCAUACAGCUAAAACGUAAAAGGAAGGUGUUGAGAAGGGGACAUACACCAGAAACAGACUACAGUAGCGAAGAAUAAGGAAGUUAGGUAUGAAAAUAAAGAGGAAAAGAUGAUUUCUCUGAGUCACAAAUGAAAAAGUGACAGUACACUUCAGAGAAAUAGACUAGAUGGAUGGAUGGAUGAUGCAGAUAAAUGAGGCUACUUAAAGAUAUAUAUAAUAUGGCACUGAAAUUGCUUACCAUAGUCAUUUCUUUCCUCUCUGGAUACUAGUAAUGUAACAAACUUAACAUAUUAAAGUGUUAUUAAUUUCCAUGAUA